UUUUUUUGGUUGCUACUUAGAAACUGUUAUUUUUAGAUUUAAGUAAUGCUGUCAUUGUGAAACAACAACAGAUUGCCAUUGCUCCUUAUGGUGGAUAUUAAGAACAAGUGUAUUAUCUUGGUUAUUACUGUAUGGUAGCUGCUCACAAAUACAGCAACCAAUUCCUUGGAAGUUUUAAGUACCUCUUCUUUUGGUUCAUUUCUUGCAUGAGGCACUAUUAUUCUAUCAGAAGAGGAUGAAAUGUGAUUGUCCCACAUUCUUCCUCUUCCCUCUUGCCAAGUUCAUUUGAACUUCAGGGGAAAAAAUCCAUCACCUGUAUUAUUUUAUGGAACGAAACAGCUGAAUACAGUAUAAAAUGGAGCACUAAGUGUACAGUAGUUGUGUUCCUUCAAUUCUGUUUCAGGCGAUAGGAAAGUGAAAUCGAAUAGCUGUGAUACUGUUUGUAUGGUAACAUUCAUGGUGAAGUAGAAGGAGUUAAAGUUUCAUGCAUAUCAUAUGAAAAACAAGCCACAGAAGCUGUUCUGCUUAAGUGUCAUGCAAGUGCUUUUGUCACUUUAAAAAAUAGGUCAUCUACUUCCUUCUCAUAAGUAUUUGACUUAGAGAUUCAUGGAUAGCAGGGAAUUUCAGAAGUAAUGCAUAAUGCAGUUUACUAGUUGAUGUCUAAAUAUGUACUGGGAUCUUAUCUGCUGAGCAGCUCUCAGUGGGACUGAAUGAACGGGCUGCCUUGUUUGCAGGAAUUUGGAGAGUUCUUGGUCAGAGACCACUUCGGGUUUUUUUCUUCCCUUGUUUUUACCUCUGUCAAAGAGUUUACUGAGGUACAUUUAUAAAUCCCAUAUUGCUGUAAAUAUUGCAGUUUAAAAUUGUGUGAAUGCUCUCGAAGCCAUGAAAAGUUUUCCCUUUGUUUUCAUGUCAGUUAUUUUCAUUUACUUUGGUCUGUUUACAAAUUGUUAUAAUUUCAUGCUGUUGAUGCUCUCAGUAUUGCAAACUCAGCUGGGACCUGCAGGUCAAACAGGUUUUUCUGUUCUUUACCUUUUAGCAGCGCACUGAGGCUUUUUGAUAGAGUACAGCUGACAAGUUUGGCUUCGUGGACUCUUGUUGGGUUGGCCUUGCUGUGGUGUUUCCUUUGGCUUUGCAAUUCCAGCAGCAUGAAAGCAGUCAUUUGGUUACAGUUUUAGAUGCAACAUAGAUACAGAGGAUCUAAUCUUUAAGAUUGCAUAUAUAAUUGUGUAGGGCACUGAGACCAAAGGAAACCAUAGAAACAGGCUGUGCUGCCACUGUUACCCUUGAUGACAGGAAAACGGGAAUGGAAAACGGUUUUCAGCCAAAUCCCUUAGCCAGGAUACAAGGCAAUCGGGAACAGCUGGGGCUGUGUAUGUGUGUACCGCGAGUUGUAGCGAGUGUCUGGCAGUGACUCCAGCACCUCACCCCUGUGACUCGCACAUAUGCUCUCCAUUCUGCUGUCUGUUAACCUGGCUGUAAAUCAGGCUCAAGGAGUGCCAAUUGCAGGGUUUGGGCCUGUGCUCUGAGCCUCGGUGUGCUUGGCAGCUCCUGCCCUGCUUGGACUAAAUACAGCCCCAUGCUCUGCUCUGGGCUUCAGGCAGCGGCAGAACUGUGCCGGGGCACAGGCCGUAGGUAAAUGCUGGUGAUAAGGGAGCAGAGUUGGUUUGUUUUGAAUCUCUCCAUGACUAAUAGUGUACACUCAGCUAUGAUGUUCCCACCUGCCUGGGUUUAUGCAGGGAGCACAAUGGGGGAAGCUGCUGUGUACUUCUCUUGAGUGUGUGGCAUGCACGGAGAUGGGGUGGAGCAGUCUGCUCUUGUUCCACCCAGAGGAGAGAAGGCCAAGGGUAAUUGACUUGUGGUCUUCAACUCCCUAAUGGGUGGGUGAAGGGGACAUACAGCCAAGCUCCUCUCACAGGGGCAUGAGGCAACAGUCAGGAGGGGUAGCAAGGGAAAUUCAUGCUGGUCAUAAGGAAAAAUGAAAGCCCAAUGAGAGUGCCUGAACCCUGGAGGAGGGUGGCAGAGAGCCUGUGAAAUCUCCAGCUUCUGAGAUUUUCAAAAUUUAAUAGGACAAGUUGCUCCAGCAUUUGCCAAACUUUGAAGAGUGGACCUGCUUUCAGCUGGACCUCUGGGCAGCUUGUCCAAAAUUUUCUGUGGGUAUUUGAAACCAUCCUUAAGCGUGACUGCAGAGCUUCUGCUGUGCUGCUACGGAGAUCUAUGGGCAGAUUGUUUUGUGUGGCCAUUUACCAACUAGUGUUUCUGGAUGUGUUUUGAUGGCUCAUUCCUGACUUGGAAAAUUGGAGAAAAGCUAUUGUCAGCUGCACGUAUGAACACUUGUAAGCUUUCAUGCACCAGACCUUAGGGAGAAACAGGGUUUAUGUACCACAAACGUGUUGAACAGUUGCCUAAAGAUGCAGACCUCUCCUGUGGGUUAUGUUUGUGCAGCUGCAGAGCCCCCCCUUGACUGGGACAGAGAGUUUGAUAUGAAAAUCUGACUUCUCUAUCACUACUGGGACUUCAAUAAGUGCUAAGCAUCCUUCACCCAUGAGUGAAAUCAGUGUGAACUGCAGAGUGUUUUAUCUCUCUGAAACAGGGCAUAUAUUUAUGUGCUUUCAUAUGGAAUUAGAUGUAAACAUUUUAGCAUCUUUAUUCUAAUAGCCAUGGGUUUUCAUGGUACAAAGCUAAGAUAACAAGCAUUUCACACACUGCCUUAAUGUGUUGUCGGCAAGAGAAUAACCAAAGCUGUUCUAGCACCUUCUUUAAGGCUUCUGUCCUCAUGCACCAUGAGACCUUUAGUAAAAAGCAUUAGUGUUUCAGUUUGCUGACAUUUAUUGUCAUUAUUUAAGAUCGUCACACUGUCUGUACCAGCUCAGACUGAAUAUCUGUGGCUCAGUAACGUUUCCAGCUGUGCCUAUCAUCCUGACCUGGGAACUAACAAUGACAGUGCCUGUGUCCAUCUUGGUCUUGGAUGUUUUUCAAGAUGGUACUAAGGGAUACAUCACCUGAGAUGAUGAAUUUUAGCUCAUUUUUGGUAGUGUGGCCUAAAUUUAAUUGAAUGCAGAAAGCCAGCUUAACAGACUUCUAUUUAUAUCUUAGUAGAGCUUCAUGUCUUAAGAGAACUACCCAAUGACACUGCUGUAGAUUUGAUUUUGUCUGUAUUAUUAACAGGAUUUGACCUGAGGCUAAAACCUAGGUUGUACUGAGAACCCUUAACUCCUAUUAUUUCUAAACUUUGGGGUUAAAUAAUCUUUCUGGGCUGAAGUGAUAUGCUACAUUUUGAUAAAACCUGCUGAAGCGAUAGGCUCAUGUUUUUCAUUUCUUUCCACAGAUCUAUAAUUUUAACUUGCGAUAUGCCUGUGCUUUCUUCCAAGGUCAAAGCUGAUUUUCCAUGGGAACAACACAGGCUGUGUCCUGUGAAGUAUACGAGACUGACGUUAGGGUAGUGCUGCCAGCUCUGAAGAAAUGCUUGGCUGGGCUUUCUGCAUCUUGUCUCUGAAGCACAUAAGGUCUACAUGGAUCUAGAAGCGUGCCAUAGUCAUGCCUAUUUUAGAAAGUGGCAAACAGCACGAGCUGCAAAUUUAAGUUGGCAGAAGAAGCCUGGCUGUUAAGCUAAAGCUGUCAGAAACUGCCAUAAUGUUGGUUGGAUACUCGAUUUACCUGUUCUGUUAAGAAUUAGAAAGGCAGCUUCUCAGAGCCUUUCUAAAUACAAAGAUAUUUAAUAUUUUUUGAAAUAUAUAGAAAUUCUAUAUAUUGGAGACAGUCCCAGCUUCCAUUCUAGCAAUUUGGAUAUCAUACAUGUAUUUCUUAAGGUCAGUAAUUAUUUAUUUAUUAGAGCGAUGGAUGCUUUCAGUAUAGCUUUUUGCACUGUGGGCAUCAAAAUGCAAUAAGAUUUCAGUUCUGAAUUUCAUCUUUAAUUCUGGUUACUUAUUUAAGCUAUUUUUGAGACGUUGUCUAGGUUAUAGGUCAAAUUCAGUUGCUAAGUCAUCUGAUCCUCUACUACUUCUCUAUAUAAGCGGUUGUUUUCACUCACAUAUGCCAAUACUGAGUUGUUUGCAAAAGCAGAGCUGUCUUCCCUCAAGACAAUAAAAGAAUCUGUUUUCUGUAAGUGAACCUGUGAAUCUGUUUUAAGGAGUUGCACAUCCAAGUGUUGCUUACAAAGACUUUAGCAGUGGGUAAACAGCAAAUCUUGACAUGUUUAAGUGAGAUUCCUACUCUUAGCUUGUCUUGUGGCUCUGUGCUGUGGAUCUGGAAGGCAGACCGUGGAAGGCAAAGGACUGAAGUUUAAAUAGCCCCUGUGAAUUUUCUAGGGAAAUUGUUGUAACUGUGCUGUGGGGAAAAAAGAUACUGAAUGGAAAUUAUUUUCACUGCGUUGGCAUUAUGGCACCGUGAAGAAUUAACAGUUACCAAAGAACCUGUAUUGGUCCCAGGCUACUUGGCAUUUCACCUUGACAGCUGUGUAUAGCACUGGAGCAGUGGGGAGGGAGGACUUUGGAUGGGCAGUAAGAGCUGCGCAUCCGUAAGAGCCACAGUACUGACUCUUAAAUGAGUCCCCCUACAUGUUCCACUCCUUUCUGCCUCUGGGCUGCAAUCCCUUCUGCUGCUUCCAGGAUGCCCCUUGCAUCUCACUGACAGUUUUAAAAUCUCUUUCUAUCAGUUUAUUUCAGCUUUUUGUUGCAUACUUCUGUGUAAGCAUCCUGAAAUUAUAUGCCCUAAAGAAAGCAUUAAUGCAAUAAAAAAUUGGAAAACUUUUAAAUGGAAAUAAUGUAAUUAGUAGGGUAAUUGCUGUUAUUUUAAUAUUCCAUGUAUUUUUUUUGGAUUGCAGUUUAUAUUGUUUGUAAACUAUUGGGAGGUGAUGUUGUCUCUGGCUUUGUAUCAUAUAUAAAGAGCUGUAGGAUUUUUAGUCUCAAACUAAAAGAUAACAUCUUCUCUUUAAGAAAAUUCUGCCAUAUUUUGCAGGAACCCCUUCCUUUUUGAUAGGAUGUAUCGCUUUACAUUUAUAUUCUCUGAUGUCAGGGUUUCUUUUGAUAGAAUUUCAUUAUGGUACUGUUGAUGCUGCAUAUUUUUAUAAAUAUAUUUAGCUUUUUAAUAGUAUUUUUGAUCAAUUGACUGCAAAGCUCUCACAAGAGAAGGGGAUUUGCGUGUGCACACAGGAGAACUGAGAAGAGAUUUGAGACUUGUAUUUGAUAGGAUUAGUCAAGAGGACAAGAAUCUGAAAUACCAAAGUCUGAAUUAAAUGUUCCUUCAGUUAGGUCACUCUGACUUUACAUGUGUAAGACUUAAUACAUUUUGGGUUAUUUUUGGCAUUGGCAUGGGUGGCUGACAUUUGUCGGUAAAUGUAAGAAAGGAAAACAAAAGGUUAAUUUGUUUCCCAUCUUUCACUAAGUUUUGAAAAAUAAUAUCUGGUCCUCAGCUUGUCCAGCAGCUCAAGGAGAGGAGGAGGGAGGGAAGAGUUGGGCUUGUGAAAACCAAUUGCAAUAAAGCCAGUUGCCUGCUGCUAACUCCAUGUCCCUGGCAGCCUAAAUAUUCCUGCCCUUGAUUUUUGUUUCUCUGGAUCAUGUCAACAAGGAGAUUUCAUUUAAAAAAAAAAAUCAAGAUUGCAGCUGAUGUCACCCAUCAGAUAAGAUUGCACAUGUAAAAUACUUAAACAAAGAAUAAAAAGCACUAGAACUUAA
Long non-coding RNA from Pseudopipra pipra, 5669 nucleotides. RefSeq lists it as uncharacterized. The transcript has 2 exons. NCBI's taxonomy places the organism in Eukaryota, Metazoa, Chordata, Aves, Passeriformes, Pipridae. The record is from RefSeq and is a predicted model, not a curated record.